Molecule: long non-coding RNA, 1452 nt
Organism: Heterocephalus glaber (naked mole-rat)
Lineage: Eukaryota; Metazoa; Chordata; Mammalia; Rodentia; Bathyergidae
Source: Ensembl
CCCAAAGUGUGCUGCUCUCCCAUGGUGCCCAGCACCACAGCAAGCCACAGCUCACAGGCAGCCAAGCAAUGACCCGGGUAAACAACUGGCAUUCUACAGUGUACAGCGUUGCCAAGCAGCAUGUUGCCCCAAGGAUAAAUGAGUCAACCUCAAACUUACCACCAGAAGCCCCUGCUUGUAGAGUUUCUGAUGAAACUGAAGCAUUCAUUAGUCCUGCAAGAGUGUGCUUCACAUGAGGAGCUACAGCUGGGCUGGGCUUUGCAACCCUCGCUGAUAAUAGCACUGAGAUUCUGAUGGCUUUGACCUUCAGGAGAUGCAGCAACAGUCCUGGAAGGAAGCAGGCACCAGGCAUCCACUUUCACAAAAGAGGAAUAAGAAGGUCAGCCUGCGAGUCCCAACUUUUUGAGGUUCUCUCUGGGACAGACCCAAGUCCAGAGCAGGAAGUGGUGGCUGCAAAGCAAGAGACAGCACUUCUCUCCCAUGAUUAUUCUUCUCUUCCUGAUUGGUGUUGGGCUCAAUCACGUGACUGGCUUUGGCCAAUGGGAUUGCAGGAGUGCAGUUCUCUGCACCUUGUCAUUCAGCCAAUGGGAUGGCAGCAGACAUGAGACAAGAGGAGGCUUUCAGUCUGCCUAAGGGGCAAGGCUUGCCCUUUUGUGCCUUGAACAUUCUGAUGAGAAGAGCUUCUGCCAGGCAGCUGCGACCCUUUAGCCUGGCCUCACAUGGAGCACCUCGGGAGCACAGCUCACAUGCCAGGACCAGGAGCUUGAAGCAGAGCUGCCCAGCCAUGCCUAGCCUAGAAGGUCACCUGUCAGCUGAUCCACAGAUAAAUAAAUGAGCCCAGAUGAAAUCAGCAAAAUGUGCCCAGCUACUCCCAGACUCAUUAGAAAUAAAUGCUUCAUGUCUGAUGCCACUGUGAUUUUUGUAAUGUUUGUUAUGCAGCACUCUUGUGGGAAGAGCUGACUGAUACAAAGGCUUCAAUAAGAAACAUAUCAUACUCUGUGAUUCAGAUUUACAAAAUUAAUUAUAACAAAAUAUUUAGAAAAUACUUAAACACCUGCCAGAUACUAUUUUAAGUGCUCCAUAUAUACUUAGUCAUUUAAUCCUUAUGACAAGCCUAUACAGUACAUAUUAUUAAGGUGGAGAAACUGAGGCACAGAGAAGUUAAACAAUUUUCCCUAGGCUACAUAGUAAAUGAUUACACUACAGUGGUUCAAACAGGUCUGGGUUCAUAGUCCAUUGUUAACUACACCUUAAUAUGAUCUGUUCUAGUGAUGUUAAACCUUUCAGAGCUUUCAAUGAUACAAACAGCCCACUGCAGCAUGCAUGCCAUAGGUUCGCCACCACUGAUCUAAUGCACUCUGCUACUUUUAUAAACAUCUAGUGGUCAUACAACACUGUAUGCCUGGAUAUAUACCAUUUUUAUUUGUCAACUGUGCCUCAAUAAAGCUGAAC